RNAcentral lists this ribosomal RNA (462 nucleotides) under uncultured bacterium. RNAcentral describes it as "partial 16S ribosomal RNA". It matches the Rfam family "Bacterial small subunit ribosomal RNA", at positions 29 to 507 of the family's 1533-position model. The record is from RNAcentral.
AGUGAACGCUGGCGGCGUGCCUAAUACAUGCAAGUCGAACGGAGAUUAAGUAGCUUGCUAUUUAAUCUUAGUGGCGCACGGGUGAGUAAUAUAUAGCUAACUUGCCCAUUACUAAGGGACAACAGUUGGAAACGACUGCUAAUACCUUAUACUCCGUAUCUAUAUAAGUAGAUACGGGAAAGUUUUUCGGUAAUGGAUAGGGCUAUAUCGUAUCAGCUAGUUGGUAAGGUAAUGGCUUACCAAGGCUAUGACGCGUAACUGGUCUGAGAGGAUGAUCAGUCACACUGGAACUGAGACACGGUCCAGACUCCUACGGGAGACAGCAGUAGGGAAUAUUGCCCAAUGGGGGAAACCCUGAAGCAGCAACGCCGCGUGGAGGAUGACACUUUUCGGAGCGUAAACUCCUUUUCUUGGGAAAGAAUUAUGACGGUACCCAAGGAAUAAGCACCGGCUAACUCCGUG